RNAcentral lists this ribosomal RNA (457 nucleotides) under Periophthalmus malaccensis. Its description in RNAcentral is "partial 16S ribosomal RNA". It matches the Rfam family "Bacterial large subunit ribosomal RNA", at positions 1960 to 2574 of the family's 2925-position model. Lineage: Eukaryota; Metazoa; Chordata; Actinopteri; Gobiiformes; Gobiidae. The record is from RNAcentral.
CGUAAUCACUUGUCUUUUAAAUGGAGACCAGUAUGAAUGGCAUAACGAGGGCCUAGCUGUCUCCUUUUUCCAGUCAAUGAAAUUGAUUUCCCUGUGCAGAAGCAGGGAUAAACACAUAAGACGAGAAGACCCUAUGGAGCUUAAGACAUAAGACAGCCCAUGUUAAAAACCCCCAUCAAUCGAAAUAACCAAAUGGCUUCUGUCCCCGUCUUUGGUUGGGGCGACCGUGGAGUAACAAGAAACCCCCAUGUGGAAUAGGGCCAAAGCCCUUAAAGCCAGAGCCACAGCUCUAACAAACAGAACAUCUGACCUUCAAGAUCCGGCAAAGCCGAUCAACGGACCGAGUUACCCUAGGGAUAACAGCGCAAUCCCCUUCUAGAGCCCAUAUCGACAAGGGGGUUUACGACCUCGAUGUUGGAUCAGGACACCCUAAUGGUGCAGCCGCUAUUAAGGGUUC